AGUGAACGCUGGCGGUAGGCCUAACACAUGCAAGUCGAACGGCAGCACAGUAAGAGCUUGCUCUUACGGGUGGCGAGUGGCGGACGGGUGAGGAAUACAUCGGAAUCUACUUUUUCGUGGGGGAUAACGUAGGGAAACUUACGCUAAUACCGCAUACGACCUACGGGUGAAAGCAGGGGAUCUUCGGACCUUGCGCGAUUGAAUGAGCCGAUGUCGGAUUAGCUAGUUGGCGGGGUAAAGGCCCACCAAGGCGACGAUCCGUAGCUGGUCUGAGAGGAUGAUCAGCCACACUGGAACUGAGACACGGUCCAGACUCCUACGGGAGGCAGCAGUGGGGAAUAUUGGACAAUGGGCGCAAGCCUGAUCCAGCCAUACCGCGUGGGUGAAGAAGGCCUUCGGGUUGUAAAGCCCUUUUGUUGGGAAAGAAAAGCAGUAGGUUAAUACCCCGCUGUUCUGUCGGUACCCAAAGAAUAAGCACCGGCUAACUUCGUG
This 492-nucleotide ribosomal RNA is filed under the name uncultured bacterium. Its description in RNAcentral is "partial 16S ribosomal RNA". It matches the Rfam family "Bacterial small subunit ribosomal RNA", at positions 29 to 507 of the family's 1533-position model. The record is from RNAcentral.